Molecule: ribosomal RNA, 497 nt
Filed under: uncultured bacterium
Lineage: Bacteria
Description: partial 16S ribosomal RNA
Rfam family: Bacterial small subunit ribosomal RNA
Source: RNAcentral
GAUGAACGCUGGUGGCGUGCCUAAUACAUGCAAGUCGAGCGAACAGACGAGGAGCUUGCUCCUCUGACGUUAGCGGCGGACGGGUGAGUAACACGUGGAUAACCUACCUAUAAGACUGGGAUAACUUCGGGAAACCGGAGCUAAUACCGGAUAAUAUAUUGAACCGCAUGGUUCAAUAGUGAAAGACGGUUUUGCUGUCACUUAUAGAUGGAUCCGCGCCGCAUUAGCUAGUUGGUAAGGUAACGGCUUACCAAGGCGACGAUGCGUAGCCGACCUGAGAGGGUGAUCGGCCACACUGGAACUGAGACACGGUCCAGACUCCUACGGGAGGCAGCAGUAGGGAAUCUUCCGCAAUGGGCGAAAGCCUGACGGAGCAACGCCGCGUGAGUGAUGAAGGUCUUCGGAUCGUAAAACUCUGCUAUUAGGGAAGAACAAAUGUGUAAGUAACUAUGCACGUCUUGACGGUACCUAAUCAGAAAGCCACGGCUAACUACGUG